Molecule: ribosomal RNA, 918 nt
Filed under: uncultured bacterium
Lineage: Bacteria
Description: bacterial SSU rRNA
Rfam family: Bacterial small subunit ribosomal RNA
Source: RNAcentral
GCAGCACGGGGGCAACCCUGGUGGCGAGUGGCGAACGGGUGAGUAACAUAUCGGAACGUGCCCUGGAGUGGGGGAUAACUAGUCGAAAGAUUAGCUAAUACCGCAUACGAUCUACGGAUGAAAGUGGGGGAUCGCAAGACCUCAUGCUCGUGGAGCGGCCGAUAUCUGAUUAGCUAGUUGGUGGGGUAAAGGCCUACCAAGGCAUCGAUCAGUAGCUGGUCUGAGAGGACGACCAGCCACACUGGGACUGAGACACGGCCCAGACUCCUACGGGAGGCAGCAGUGGGGAAUUUUGGACAAUGGGCGCAAGCCUGAUCCAGCAAUGCCGCGUGAGUGAAGAAGGCCUUCGGGUUGUAAAGCUCUUUUGUCAGGGAAGAAACGGUUCGGGUUAAUACCUUGGGCUAAUGACGGUACCUGAAGAAUAAGCACCGGCUAACUACGUGCCAGCAGCCGCGGUAAUACGUAGGGUGCAAGCGUUAAUCGGAAUUACUGGGCGUAAAGCGUGCGCAGGCGGUUGUGCAAGACAGAUGUGAAAUCCCCGGGCUCAACCUGGGAAUUGCAUUUGUGACUGUACGGCUAGAGUGUGUCAGAGGGGGGUAGAAUUCCACGUGUAGCAGUGAAAUGCGUAGAGAUGUGGAGGAAUACCGAUGGCGAANGCAGCCCCCUGGGAUAACACUGACGCUCAUGCACGAAAGCGUGGGGGAGCAAACAGGAUUAGAUACCCUGGUAGUCCACGCCCUAAACGAUGUCUACUAGUUGUCGGGUCUUUAUUGACUUGGUAACGCAGCUAACGCGUGAAGUAGACCGCCUGGGGAGUACGGUCGCAAGAUUAAAACUCAAAGGAAUUGACGGGGANCCGCACAAGCGGNGGANGAUGUGGAUUAANUUCGAUGCNNCGCGAAAAACCNUACCUACCCU